UCAGAGGGUCAGACGAUUGCGUGCGUGAAAAUGUGCGAGGAAAGUCCGGGCUCCAUUAAAGCAGGAUGCCGGGUAACGCCCGGCCUUUGCAUUCCUAACGGAAUACAUUGAGGGAAAGUGCCACAGAGAGAAGACCGCUCUUAAAUGAGUAAGGCUGAAAGGGUGCGGUAAGAGCGCACCGCCGCAAGGGUAACUAAGCGGGCAAGGUAAACCCCAUUCGGAGCAAGACCAAAUAGGAACGGUAUAAGAUGUGCUUUAUCAUCGCUGUUCGGGUGUGUCGCUUGAGGGUGUUAGCAAUAGCACUCCCAGAGGAAUAAUCGUCACUGUUUCGGCAGGACAGAACCCGGCUUAUCGACCCUUUGACAUU
RNAcentral lists this RNase P RNA (367 nucleotides) under Hellea sp. RNAcentral's name for it is "RNase P RNA component class A". It matches the Rfam family "Bacterial RNase P class A". From Rfam's summary of the family: Ribonuclease P (RNase P) is a ubiquitous endoribonuclease, found in archaea, bacteria and eukarya as well as chloroplasts and mitochondria. Its best characterised activity is the generation of mature 5'-ends of tRNAs by cleaving the 5'-leader elements of precursor-tRNAs. Cellular RNase Ps are ribonucleoproteins. Lineage: Bacteria; Pseudomonadati; Pseudomonadota; Alphaproteobacteria; Maricaulales; Robiginitomaculaceae. The record is from RNAcentral.